UAUCUUGUGCUUUCCUAACGAAGGUUGCAAGCCAAGAGCUACCAAGAAUAGCACAGUACGUAGUACUCUCGCUGCAAGCUAGCAGCAGGACGCGCGCCAUGGCCGCCAAGCACCAGUUCCGCAUUGCAGUUGUGCACCUCCUGCUCCUGGCACUACUGAUCUCCCUGCUCGCGCCGACCUCCGGCAGAUGAACCGGCGGCAAUGGAUGUACGUUGACCGACGCCUACCCAAGUUUACUUCGGGCUUGGAUUAUUUUAUCCGUGUGGCUACGGAAAACCCACAGGCGGAUGGUUUUAUAUGUUGUCCAUGUAUUAGUUGCCGGAACUUAACGCAAUACCCUGACCGGCAAGUCAUUCACUCCCACCUGCUUUGGAAAGGUUUCAUGCCCAACUAUAAUUGUUGGAUCAAUCAUACGUCUCCAACGUACCUAUAAUUUCUGAUGUUCCAUGCUUGUUUUAUGACAAUACUUACAUGUUUUGCUUGCACUUUAUAAUGUUUUUAUGCGUUUUCUGGAACUAACCUAUUAACAAGAUGUCGAAGUACCAGUUCCUGUUUUCUGUUGUUUUUGGUUCCAGAAAGACUGUUCGGGCAAUAUUCUCGGAAUUCGACGAAACGAAGACCCAACAUCUUAUUUUUCCCGGAAGCAUCCAGAACACCGAAGGAGAGUCGGAGAGGAGCCAGGGGGCCACCACACAACAUGGCGGCGCGGCCCCAGGCCUGGCCGCGCCGGCCUAGUGUGAGGGGGGCCCAGGCACCCUCCUGCGCCGCCUCUUCGCCUAUUUAAGCCCUUUCGACCUAAAAACGCGAUACGGAUGGACGAAACUCCAGAAAGACUCCAGGGGCGCCGCCGCCAUCGCGAAACUCCAAUUCGGGGGACAGAAGUCUCUGUUCCGGCACCCUGCCAGGACGGGGAAGUGCCCCCGGAAGCCAUCUCCAUCAACGCCACCGCCUCCAUCAUGCUCCGUGAGUAGUUCCCCCAUGGACUACGGGUUCUAGCUGUAGCUAGUUGGUAUUCUCUCCCCAUGUACUUCAAUACAAUGAUCUCAUGAGCUGCAUUACAUGAUUGAGAUUCAUCUGAUGUAAUCGGUGUUGUGUUUGUUGGGAUCCGAUGAAUUGUUACAAUAUCAUCAGUCUAUCUAUAUAAGGUUGUGAAGUUAUUGUUGCUGCAA
This is a long non-coding RNA of Lolium perenne, 1169 nucleotides long. RefSeq lists it as uncharacterized. NCBI's taxonomy places the organism in Eukaryota, Viridiplantae, Streptophyta, Magnoliopsida, Poales, Poaceae. The record is from RefSeq and is a predicted model, not a curated record.